RNAcentral lists this ribosomal RNA (253 nucleotides) under uncultured bacterium. RNAcentral describes it as "partial 16S ribosomal RNA". It matches the Rfam family "Bacterial small subunit ribosomal RNA", at positions 524 to 776 of the family's 1533-position model. The record is from RNAcentral.
UACGUAGGGGGCAAGCGUUGUCCGGAUUUAUUGGGCGUAAAGAGCGUGUAGGCGGCUUUGCAAGUCCGUUGUGAAAACUCGAGGCUCAACCUCGAGACGCCGGUGGAAACUGCAAAGCUAGAGUCCGGAAGAGGAGAGUGGAAUUCCUGGUGUAGCGGUGAAAUGCGCAGAUAUCAGGAGGAACACCGAUGGCGAAGGCAGGUCACUGGGCCGCAACUGACGCUGAGGAGCGAAAGCAUGGGGAGCGAACAGG